AUUGAACGCUGGCGGCAUGCCUUACACAUGCAAGUCGAACGGCAGCACGGGAGCAAUCCUGGUGGCGAGUGGCGAACGGGUGAAUAAUGUAUCGGAACGUACCUUCAGGUGGGGGAUAACGUAGCGAAAGUUACGCUAAUACCGCAUAUUCUGUGAGCAGGAAAGCAGGGGAUCGCAAGACCUUGCGCUGAUUGAGCGGCCGAUAUCAGAUUAGCUAGUUGGUGAGGUAAAGGCUCACCAAGGCGACGAUCUGUAGCGGGUCUGAGAGGAUGAUCCGCCACACUGGAACUGAGACACGGUCCAGACUCCUACGGGAGGCAGCAGUGGGGAAUUUUGGACAAUGGGCGCAAGCCUGAUCCAGCCAUGCCGCGUGAGUGAAGAAGGCCUUCGGGUUGUAAAGCUCUUUCAGACGGAAAGAAAACGCAUCGGUGAAUACCCGGUGUGGAUGACGGUACCGUAAGAAGAAGCACCGGCUAACUACGUG
RNAcentral lists this ribosomal RNA (484 nucleotides) under uncultured bacterium. RNAcentral describes it as "bacterial SSU rRNA". It matches the Rfam family "Bacterial small subunit ribosomal RNA", at positions 30 to 507 of the family's 1533-position model. The record is from RNAcentral.